CAGCCGCCACGGUAAUACGUAGGGUGCGAGCGUUAAUCGGAAUUACUGGGCGUAAAGCGUGCGCAGGCGGUUCGUUAAGACAGAUGUGAAAUCCCCGGGCUUAACCUGGGAACUGCAUUUGUGACUGGCGAGCUAGAGUAUGGCAGAGGGGGGUAGAAUUCCACGUGUAGCAGUGAAAUGCGUAGAGAUGUGGAGGAAUACCGAUGGCGAAGGCAGCCCCCUGGGCCAAUACUGACGCUCAUGCACGAAAGCGUGGGGAGCAAACAGGAUUAGAUACCCCCGUAGUCCCUGUCUCUUAUAA
RNAcentral lists this ribosomal RNA (301 nucleotides) under uncultured bacterium. RNAcentral's name for it is "partial 16S ribosomal RNA". It matches the Rfam family "Bacterial small subunit ribosomal RNA", at positions 509 to 809 of the family's 1533-position model. The record is from RNAcentral.